RNAcentral lists this long non-coding RNA (1968 nucleotides) under Nicotiana tabacum (common tobacco). RNAcentral's name for it is "long non-coding RNA (NTAB_LNC014896)". The record is from RNAcentral. Lineage: Eukaryota; Viridiplantae; Streptophyta; Magnoliopsida; Solanales; Solanaceae.
UUGUUUCACUUGUAUGUUAUGUGGCCACCUUUGCCUUCAAUGGACUGCUUUUCCACUUUUUCACUCCAUCUGGACAUGACUGUGGGCUUAACACUUUCUUUAUAGUGAUGACCCUUAUAGUCAUCUUCAUCUUUGCUGUUGUUACACUGCAUCCAUCGGUAAUUUUUCUAUCUUUAAUUCCUUUAUUGCUGCAGAAUACUUCCUUUACUUGUGAACUUUUCCAUGAGUUCUAAAUUUUGCAGGCUAACAAGAUCUUAUAUAAAUGUUCAUCUGCUUUUCUCAUCUGAUGCCACUAUUCGUACUGAUUUCCAUAGUUUAAAUGUGGCCUUACUAGAAAAAGCAGAUCUCUUUCUGUAGUUGAGUUUACUGCAAAUCAUGGAAGCUAAAAAGCUUGGGUUUUAUGUUAGCAUAUGCUGCAUUAUCUCUCUCCAUGUUAGCAUUUUCUUCGGUGCAUCUUCAAGGAGUCUUGUCAUAAAAAAUUUUACACUCUCUUUAAAUCUUCUGAAAAUUUUAUUUCGUAGUAGUUUGAAGGAAAAUAGUGUGGUUUAUUUCUAGUGUCAAUGAGAAGGAAGACUUUAAAUUCAAAUAAGCUGGCAUCUCAUGUGUUUCUUUCAAGAUCUCAGAACUUAAAAAGUUAUUUGUUGAAAUAUGUGAAAAGUUGGCAUGCCGUGUUUGUUUGUCUGGUUGUUUGAGGAUAUUAAUCUUGGUUCUACAUCCUUAGAGCAGCUUAUUUAAUCCAAAGCUGCAGAGAAUAUUUUUUUAAAGUAUUCAUCUUGGCCCUAAAUCUUUAGAGCAGUUUAUUUAAUCCCAAGCUGGAGAAGUAUCUCGAACUAGCGAGCCUGUCAGCUUUUUGAUUUCCUUUUCAUGGAAGGCCCCCCAUGAUUGUUUUGUAAGAUUACGACAAAAACACUAGGUGAUUUGUUCCCAUCUAUCUACCUAAGCGUUGGUGGGUAGAGUUACCACCUGGUACAUGUGCUUGUGUAAAGUAGCAAGUACCUGGUGGAAUAGUUGAAGUGCAUGUUUGCUGGUCACGUCAUAAAAACAUACCAAAUGUUUUGUAUGAAAACCACUUCAAUUUUUGUGAAUUGCCAAAAUGUAUGGUCUGACUGGAGUGUUGCUUAAACCAGGACAUUUAGCUGCUAAACAGUGUAUUGCAUUCAUUCUCAACUUGUUCCUCUACAAUCUUUACAACAACUCUUCUAUAUUGCAAGCUCUAAGAAAAGAUCAAUAAUGAAAAUAUAACCUAUUUCACUAGUCAAGAUCAAGGUAACAACAGGAGCAAGUAGAAAGAUAAAACACACUUCUUUUGGAGAGUGGGGAGGAAGAGGAGCAGAGUGGAGAGCUACCUCUUGCUAAUACUUCUCUCACUCAUAGCUGGGUUAUAUCUCUAUAUCUCUGUUGAGAUGAUGCAACCUUUCCAGGCAGCCCCCCUCAUAAAUCAUAUAUGUCAUUAAAUCUUCUUCUUCCCCCCAACUCCCCAACCCCAAUUAAGAAAAUGAAACCCUCCUAAGGUUUGUAAUAAGCGGAUAAGAUGUUAAAAGGUUCCUUCAUGAGGUGCAACCUUUUGACAAUAUCUAUGCAUGGAAAAAAAUUAAUUGAUGUUCGCCUCUUAAAUCAUCCGAACACUCUAUGUCAGUGUUUCCACUGAAAAAGAGAGAAUAGGUUUUGUUGAUCCGUGAUCAUGAUCUUUUUAUCUUGAGGUAUUUAAGCUUGCUGCUGAAUGACCAACUGUUGAAGACAAAAUAAUUUUUUCUAUUAUUGCUGUUACUGUUGUCAUAAUAUGAGUUCCAUACUGUGGAAUUUUCUCCUUUUCUCUGAGAUCAAAUUUUCUAAAUGUAGGUAGGAGGAAGCAUUUUACCUGCAUCAGUUUUAUCUUUGUACUGUACAUACCUUUGUUACAGUGCACUUGCAAGUGAACCUAGGGAUUAUGAGUGCAAUGGUCUACAUAAGCACUCUAAGGCUGUUUCC